UACAGGGGGAUAACACUUAGAAAUAGGUGCUAAUACCGCAUAAGCGCACGGUUCCGCAUGGAACAGUGUGAAAAACUCCGGUGGUAUACGAUGGAUCCGCGUCUGAUUAGCCAGUUGGCGGGGUAACGGCCCACCAAAGCGACGAUCAGUAGCCGGCCUGAGAGGGUGAACGGCCACAUUGGGACUGAGACACGGCCCAAACUCCUACGGGAGGCAGCAGUGGGGAAUAUUGCACAAUGGGGGAAACCCUGAUGCAGCGACGCCGCGUGAGUGAAGAAGUAUCUCGGUACGUAAAGCUCUAUCAGCAGGGAAGAAAAUGACGGUACCUGACUAAGAAGCCCCGGCUAACUACGUGCCAGCAGCCGCGGUAAUACGUAGGGGGCAAGCGUUAUCCGGAUUUACUGGGUGUAAAGGGAGCGUAGACGGCAGCGCAAGUCUGGAGUGAAAUGCCGGGGCCCAACCCCGGAACUGCUUUGGAAACUGUGCAACUCGAGUGCAGGAGAGGUAAGCGGAAUUCCUAGUGUAGCGGUGAAAUGCGUAGAUAUUAGGAGGAACACCAGUGGCGAAGGCGGCUUACUGGACUGUAACUGACGUUGAGGCUCGAAAGCGUGGGGAGCAAACAGGAUUAGAUACCCUGGUAGUCCACGCCGUAAACGAUGAUUACUAGGUGUCGGGGGGCCAAGGCCCUCCGGUGCCGCCG
This 700-nucleotide ribosomal RNA is filed under the name uncultured bacterium. RNAcentral describes it as "bacterial SSU rRNA". It matches the Rfam family "Bacterial small subunit ribosomal RNA", at positions 134 to 851 of the family's 1533-position model. The record is from RNAcentral.